RNAcentral lists this ribosomal RNA (253 nucleotides) under uncultured bacterium. Its description in RNAcentral is "partial 16S ribosomal RNA". It matches the Rfam family "Bacterial small subunit ribosomal RNA", at positions 524 to 776 of the family's 1533-position model. The record is from RNAcentral.
UACGGAGGGUGCAAGCGUUGUCCGGAAUCACUGGGUUUAAAGGGUGCGUAGGCGGGCAGGUAAGUCCGUGGUGAAAUCUCUGAGCUUAACUCAGAAACUGCCAUGGAUACUAUUUGUCUUGAAUGUUGUGGAGGUAAGCGGAAUAUGUCAUGUAGCGGUGAAAUGCUUAGAUAUGACAUAGAACACCAAUUGCGAAGGCAGCUUACUACACAAAUAUUGACGCUGAGGCACGAAAGCGUGGGGAUCAAACAGG